GAGCUCGCGUCUGAUUAGCUAGUUGGCGGGGUAAAGGCCCACCAAGGCGACGAUCAGUAGCCGGACUGAGAGGUUGAACGGCCACAUUGGGACUGAGAUACGGCCCAGACUCCUACGGGAGGCAGCAGUGGGGAAUAUUGGGCAAUGGGCGAAAGCCUGACCCAGCAACGCCGCGUGAAGGAAGAAGGCUCUCGGGUUGUAAACUUCUUUGACCAGGGAAGUGACGGUACCUGGAAAACAAGCCACGGCUAACUACGUGCCAGCAGCCGCGGUAAUACGUAGGUGGCGAGCGUUGUCCGGAUUUACUGGGUGUAAAGGGCGUGUAGGCGGGAUUGCAAGUCAGAUGUGAAAUGCCGGGGCUUAACCCCGGAGCUGCAUUUGAAACUGCAGUUCUUGAGUGAUGGAGAGGCAGGCGGAAUUCCUAGUGUAGCGGUGAAAUGCGUAGAU
This 447-nucleotide ribosomal RNA is filed under the name uncultured bacterium. RNAcentral describes it as "bacterial SSU rRNA". It matches the Rfam family "Bacterial small subunit ribosomal RNA", at positions 227 to 695 of the family's 1533-position model. The record is from RNAcentral.